UUUGGGACCCUAUCUACAUCUAUUUAUAAAACUAACGGGUGCCAGUUAUGCCAUUACAAAUUAUCCCCUCUUCAUACAUUUCCUUAAAAUUCUUCUGAAACACCAAAACUAAAUAAUCGAAUAUGGCUUUGCGGGUCGAUGAUGCCAGCAACAAUGAGGCUGCAAUUAUCACUUGUUUAGUUUCUAUGCUUGCCGUGGUUUAUUUCGUAUGGAAUGUGAACAAAUCAAGGAAAGCAAAUGCUAAACUGCCACCAGGACCUCGCGGUUUGCCUGUAGUCGGAUACCUCCCAUUUCUCGGAACUACUGACUUGCACAAGAAAUUCACGGAAUUAUCCGGAGUUUAUGGUCCGAUCUUCAAGCUCUGGCUCGGAAAUAAAUUAAGUGUCGUGGUGAGCUCACCUUCCCUAGUUAAACAAGUGGUUCGUGAUCAAGAUACAACAUUCGCAGACCGUGACCCGCCGAUCUCAGGACUAGUGACCUCCUUUGGUGGCAAUGAUAUUACAUGGUCCAAUUACGGUCCCGAAUGGAGAAAGUUGCGCAAAUUUUUUGUGGGCAAGAUGAUGAGUAACGCAAGCCUUGAUGCUUGUUAUGCUUUAAGAAAACAUGAGGUUAAAAAUACUAUCAGGGAUUUGUAUAACAACGGCAACAAAAUUGGUAAGCCCAUUGACAUUGGUGAAUUGUCGAUUUCAACAUUGGUAUGUGCUAUGCAGAACAUGCUGUGGGGUGAAGCGCUUGAAUUAAAAGAGAAAGGGACAACUAAUCUUGGGGUUGAGCUAAAAUUUAAGUUUGCAGAACUCAUGGUGCUACUGGGAACACCGAAUAUUUCGGAUAUCUUUCCAAUGCUUUCUUGGCUCGACAUACAAGGUAUAGAGAGGAGAGCAAAGAAGAUUUCACUCUGGUUUGAAAAAAUUAUAAAUUCUACUGUUGAAAAGUAUAGAAGCAAGGACUUUAAUGUUGAAGGUAAAGAAAGAGCAGGGGAAAAUUUUGAAGGAUCAAGGAACAAGAACUUCUUGCAGUUACUAUUGGAGCUUCAAGAAAAUGAAGACGGUUCUUCCUCAAUUAGCAUGAACCAAUUUAAGGCCGUACUCGUGGUAUGUUAAGAAACUAGCCGCAAACAGUUAUACAAGCACAGCUGUAUAUUUUGCAUGAGUGAUAUUUUCAACCUUUUUUUUUUAUAAUUAGAAUUUUAUUGUAACCUUUUGGACAGGAUAUAAUUACGGCUGGAACCGACACCACAACUACGAUGGUGGAAUGGACAAUGGCAGAGUUGAUGCAGCAUCCACAAAUAAUGAAGAAAGUUCAGGAAGAAUUAGCUCAAGUUGUGGGCAUGGACAGUUGUGUUGAAGAAUUUCAUUUGCCUAAAUUGAAAUAUUUAGAUGCUGUGGUGAAAGAAUCGUCUCGUCUGCAUCCUGCAGUGCCUUUAUUACUACCACGCAGAGCAAGCGAGAGUGGCAGCAUUGGUGGCUAUAACAUUCCCAAAGAUACAACUAUUAUGUUGAAUGUUUGGGCAAUCCACAGGGACCCUAAACUUUGGGAUAAUCCCUUAGAAUUUCGACCCGAGAGGUUUCUAGAUGAUGGUAUCGCGAGUAAGUUCGAUUACUCAGGUAACAAUUUUCAGUACUUGCCAUUUGGUUCUGGUAGAAGGAUGUGUGCUGGGAUUCCUCUAGCUGAGAGGAUGCUGAUGUUUGUUUUGGCUUCGUUAUUGCACUCAUUUGAGUGGGAAUUGCCAGCUGGCACAAAGCUAAACUUAUCUGAAAAAUUUGGGAUUGUCAUUAAGAAAAAAGAGCCUUUAGUUGCUAUUCCAACACCAAGACUAUCCAAUUCAGAGCUCUACCAUUAAGACAGAAUGGUUGUGAUGAUUUUGUUAAUUUCCGAAGAUUUGUAUGUUAUGUCAAGUUCAAUCGUAAUAAAAUAUUUCAAAUAAGAGUCCUCCGUUGCUUUUUUUUUUUUUUUCAACCGCAUAAUCUGUCGUCAUGCUUGUAUUUGGGGCUACUUUGGAAUAAUUAUGUUUGAAUUACAAUAUAUAAAUAUUACAUUUUAAAAUUUUAUGAGAUUCUAAAUUUAUACACGUUCAAUAACCCACUUCAUAUAUGUUUAACACAAUUUAUAUCAUACAUUGUAUACCCAUUUGUCAUAAAUUACGCUAUUUUAUAUCUCUAAAUAAUAUUACAUAUUGAUAUUAUAAAAUGUUGUUAACUCACGUGUGUAUAUAUAUAUAGCAAGUCACGUGCAUAUAUUAUUGGUUGUUAUAUGUUUGCUAGUUUGAUAGGAUUUCCUUUCCUUGUGAACUAGGGUAAUUCUUAUGUACAUAUAAAUAUUGAUCAAUAAGAGUGCAGAUGAUGACUGCAGUUUUGCAUCGUAGAAAUUCUUCGUAAAAUAUAUAUGUUUAUCAAAAGGCUAUACCAUUCAAUAUAUAUUGGAAAGAGAACAAAGAAGAUCUUCUUAUGGUUUGAAAAUAUUAUGAAUUCUGCUGUUGAACAGUAUGGAAACAAGGUCUGUUGUUAAAGGUGAAGAAGUCACAGGGAACAAUAUUGAAGGAAGAAAUUUCACGUUUAGUUGCUGAAUUUGCCGCUGUAUUCUAUCGGUAGUAAAAAGAUUAGAGUUUUUAUUUUUCUCUAUUAAUGUUAAGUCAAUUUUCUAUAACAAAUUCGGUUGAGUUUAAUUGUGUUACAAUAUAAAUUGAAUGAUAGUAGAAUUUUCAACGAAUAAUUCAAUAUUUCUAUCUCGAUUGUUGAAGUGCCAUUUAUUUGUUAUACGAUCGAUUUUAAAAUUUAUAAAAUUAUUUGUUACUAAAUUGCAUCAUAUGCUAAAUCACCUGAAACCUAAUUUCAUAACUAACCCUUUAUUUUUAGUUCUCAAGAAAUCUUGUAAGAACAAAAUUCUUUUGUAACAAAACGUUUACAACAAAUUAAUUUGUAACUCAUUCCUGUGCGAGAAUCACUCUCAAUUUCCUUCAAUUGCUGUUUAACAAUCAUCUGCUUAUCAAAAUUCAAGCAUAAUCUUUUUUUUUAAUUUCUUCAUCAUUCUUUUGAAAAAAAAAAUCAGGAUAUGCUGUUAAAUUUUGAAAUAAAUUAUCUCAAAAUAAUUACUAACCAGAAAAAACAAAGGGGUUUAACUAGGUUAUGCAUACCUUUGAAAAUUAUAUGUUGAUCGAUAAGAAUGAUGAUCACGAUUGACGAGUUUAAUUAAAAUAUAUAAGAUUUUAAAAUUAAUCAGGGUUAAAUUGUGAAUUUUAGAAAGAGAGGUUUUGUGAGAAUGUUGAAAGGGUGUUAAUAGUUCCACUCUUUUUAAAAACAACCAUAGUCAUCAUUUUUCCAUGGUUGUUUUUAAAAAGAGUAUUUCUUCUUCCCAUCUCCAUCUUAUUUAGAAAUUUCCCAGAGCCUUUGUUUCCCACCUUUCAUUUUUCUUCUUUCUAAUUUAAUAAUCCACCCUUCUUGUAUUCAAACUAAAAAAUUAAAAUCUGAAAAUUUAAAACCCAAUAUUAUAGUAUUAUAAAAAUAAUUACUCACAUUUUAUCAAACACCUCCAUUCUUCCAAGGCCUUGUUUUAGUAGUAGGCUUUUAUUAUCUCAAUAAAAUUGAAAAAAAAAAUCUCAAUAAUAUUGGAAAAAAACCCUACCCAUAUUUGUAACUUUAAUUUAUUAUUCUCCAUAGACCUACUUUUUAGUUUUGAAUUUUGUUGGAGCCAUAUAUAAACAGAAUAUGUUGAAAUCAGCACCCAAAAAAAAAAAAACUAAUUAUAUAAUUUAUGUUCCCAAGGACAUGGCUGAGUGAUUUUCAAGAAGUUUUGUUUGGCUGGCCACUUAGGUUUAAAUCUUGGUGGAGAUUAAGGGUUAAGAAAUAAAUUUAGACUUUGCACACCCCUUUAACUUUUAAAAAGAAAUGAAAAAAUUAAUUAAUUAAUCUUUAUUUUAUUUAUUAAAUGUCAUAAUCCUAUGCGUAUUUUAUUUGUUAUCUUUCUAUUUAAAAGACGAGGGCAGAUAAAACUGAAAUAAAUUUUUAGCCCUAUCUCCAUAUUUCAAGUUCCAUAGUUAGGUGACCAGCUAAAAAAAAUUAAUUGAAAGCUACUCCAUCAAAUUAAAAAAAUUUAUUUAUUUAAUUUGUGGAGAUGUAGAAAAUCAAACCCCAUACCUUUUCGCAUACACUGAACAUAUUUUAAUACAUGACUAUCAUCCUUUAUCCUAAAUACUACUAUAACUAAUAACAUACAAUUGAAAUAAUUAAUGUUAACACUUGGCUAUAAAUAAAGGUUUUGUGCUUGAAUCUUCACGCAUGACCUUCAUUCCUUUAUUGACUUUGCUAACACAGAUUUUGAGGCAUUAAAACUAAAUAAUAAUUGACUUUGUGGGCCGAGGAUGCCAGCAACAAGGAGACCACAAUUAUCACUUAAGUUACUCUAAUUGCCGUUGUCUUAUAUUCAUAGAAUAUUAGUAAUAAGAUUAUUGCAGAAUUUUUUUAAUAUUAAAAUUAAGUCAAUUUGUUAUAACAAAUUUAGUUGAGUUUAAUCGUGUUACUACAUAAAUUGAAUAAUAAUAGAAUUCUCGACAAAUAUUUCAAUAUUUUUAUCCCAAGCGUUGGAGUGGCAUUUAUUUGUUAUACGAUCGAUUUUAGAACUUAUAAAAUUAUUCGUUACUGAAUUGCACCAUAUGCUGCAUGACCUGAAACUUAAUAAACGGAAUGUAGCGUUGGCACCGUUACUCAACAUACUGUUACGACUUUGUGACAUUAGAAUUAAAAUCUUUUGCACAUUUAAUUUGUUUACUUCAAAAUUAAUAUUUAACAAAAUAUUUUUUUCACAUUAUCAAUGGACAAAACUCCAACGAAAAUAACUACACAAGAAAAAUGUAUGCUAGUAUUGUGUGCCAUAUCAUCUGUAAUUUUGUCAGGAUCGAACACUCUAAUUUUUAAGCAGAACUUUUUAUCAAUGGACAAACACCUCACACAGCUUGUCAGAGGCAUUAUUAUGAUAGAAAACUGUAAUGGUAUAUCUUGAAUUAUUGGUAGAAUAGUUCUUUGGAGCAAUAAAAAUAGAUAAGACAGAUGAGAAAAUUGUCAAUACCCCACCGCAAAAGCAAAAGAAAAAAAGGAAAGGAGACAAAAGAGGAAGAAGAAAAAAAGGAAAGGAGACAAAAGAGGAAGAAGAAAAAGAAAAAAGAACGAAGAAAAAAAUGGUGCCGCGCUGUAUUGGGAAGAAGAAAAAAAUUAAUAAAAUAAUAAUAAAUAAUAAAUAAUAAAUAAUAAAAUAAUAGUGCACAACAAUCAUUUGAUUGCUAUAAAUAAAGGGGCAUUUUCCUCAUUUUAUUCAUCGAAUUCUUCAGUUCCUUUCAAGCGAUUUAAGAGUCUAGUGAUUUGAGAGUUUGGGAGUAUUGUGAUUUUGAGUACUAAGUUAAAAUACUAUAAUACUUGUAACUCAUUUUCACUAGUAAAAUAUUUUUCUUCUGUCUUCGCCCGUAGACGUAGGCUAAAAGCUGAACCACGUAAUUUCUGGUGUCCCUAUGUGAUUAUGUGUCUCAUUAUUUCUCAAUUUUACUUUAGUUACGUGUCUGCUACACCCUUCAAUUUACUAACAAAAAUGGCCAAAAUUAUAUAAGUGACCCAAAUUUUUUUGCUAUUUCCAAGAAAUCCCCAAUCGGAAUAGACCAAACUAGAGGGAGGCAAGUUAGAAAUACGUUUCCUUCAUAAACAAUAACAGCGAUGAGUCGAUGACAUCGAGCCACGUCGGUAUCAAUAUUGAAUUAAAGGUGCAAUUAUUCAGCCAAUGAGCCUUACACAUCAAGAUAAAAGUCAAGAAAAUGAAAAAUUUAUCCUAAUUAAAACACUUUCUGGCUGCAUUUAGCUGUUUCUAUUUGAAGUUAAAAACAACAUUUCUUUCGUUUUGUGGGCAACUCGACUGAGUUCGCUGGCUUCUAGUGCUAGUAUGUGAAAAUAGAAGGCUAAUGAUUUAUUUGUUAUCUUUUGACAAAAAAUGUUAAAGAUAUAAUAGAUUUUCCAUGAUACAAAUGAAAAAUUAUAUCAACAUAACUUCCAAGCUACAGCAGCUAGUGUUUACCAAACACUUUGCUGUAGCUUUUAAGCUACAGCUGCCCAACCUCAAUAGGUUGAUUGAAUUUGUGGGAUAUAGAUUCCACAUAUCUCAUGACCUAUUAAUUAUACAAGUGGUUCUUGAUCAAGAACAACAUUUGCUUCCGACCCAGUAACCCAGCAACUGCUGCACUGGUCGCCACCUAUGGUGCCGACGAUAUUGCAUGGUCCAAUUAUGGCCUUGAAUGGAAAAAGUUGAGCAAAUUAUUUGUGGGCACGAUGAUAAGUAACGCAAGCCUUGAUGCUAGUUAUGGUCGAAGAAAACAAGAGGUUAAGAAUACUAUCAGAGAUAUGCAUAACAACAAAAAGGAAAAAAAAAAAAAAAGGCAUUGGCAAGUCAAUUGAUAUUGCUGAAUUGUCGAUUUCAACUUUGGCAUGUGUAAUUCAGACAUUGCGCGUUGUGGUAUGGCGCUGGCACGCUUGCAUUGCCGAGAGGACAAAUCUUGGGGCUGGGCUAAAAUUUAGGCUUGUAGAACUCAUGGUGCUAAUGGGAACGCCAAAUUUUUUUAACAUAUUUCGGUGCUUUCAUGGUUUAAUUCAAGGUAUAGAAAGGAGUGUUGAGAAUGUCAAAUAAAACGACAUUGAAUGGAAGUUGUCAAAGACAUGAUCCGCACUGAACGGCAAUGACACGGUUGGUAAAGAUUUUUUCAUAAUAUGCGUAUCUAAUUUUUGAAAAAUUGUAACCUCUGCUUCUAUAAAUAUGCUCAAUGUAUAAUGUUUUACUUAAGAAAUGAAAAACUUAAUUCUUUAUGGUAUCAGAGCGAGGCUCGUUGCUCUGUUUGUAACAAAAACAAAGAAAACUAAAUUCUUCCCACAACUAUUUUUCCACCUUUUUUUCUUCCUUAAAAGCAUUCCUAGCAUUACAGAAACCCAUGCCAAUAAAAGAACAAGCCACACAUAUGUAAAAACUUUAGUUUACAAAUCUAUCAACAUCCCCAUAAAUUUUCCCAAAAAGUGAUCUUCAAAAACCAAAAAUACCAUCAAUUUUCGCAUCUUCUAGUAAACAAACUAUAAAAGUUUCGCACUCAAACAGAGCCACACGCGCCUCCACGCGCUUCCCGGAAUCACGGCCAACCACCACGCGCCUCUGUCACCACCAACUCACCCUCAUGCGCUCCAGAUGUUGCAGAAGACGCAAAACGACGUGUCGUUUUCUUCUCUAAAAGUGCAGCAACGUGGAAAUGACUUUUUGUUUUUGCCUUAAAUUGUUUUUCCUCGUUUGAAGCUAUACAACAUUUUUCUUUCUAAACCUGUUUUUUACAAUAAAAAAAGAAAAAAAUGGAGAAAACUCCAACUGAAUCUACUCAUGUUGUCAUUCAAUCUGUUCAACCUGAUGGAGUAUUUAAUGCCGAAAUUAUCCUUACUAAGACAAACUACGAUAUUUGAUCUCAAAUAAUGGAGAUGCAUCUCGCAGAAAGAAAAAAACUCCCAUAUAUUCGUAGCAGCAUAAAUCCAUCUGACAAAUUUUCAAAGAAAUAUGAGAAAUGGUAUAGUGAGAACCAAAAAGUAAAAAGAUGGUUACUCAUAACCAUGUGUCCUGAGAUCAUGAAGCGAUAGUUACAAAUUCCUACAGCCUACGAAAUUUAGAAUGCAUUAUCAAAAGCCUUUUAUAAUGGAAGCGAUGAAAUACAAGUUUUCACUCUAAAUCAGAAGGCGUUCUCUACGAAGCAAAAUGGACAACCACUCUCUAAAUUCUACGGAGAAUUGAUCAAAAUGUUUCAAGAACUUAAUCACCGAGAUAAAGUGGUCAUGAAGGAUCCAGAAGAUGUUAUAAUAUAUAGGAAGUUUGUUGGAAGAUUGAGAGUGCACAUUUUUCUUGCUGGACUAGAUGAAGAAUUUGACCAAGUUUGUGGAGAAAUUCUACGAAAAGAUACUAUCCUAGACUUAAAAGAAUGUUAUUCUCUAAUCCGAAAAGAAGAUGUACGGCAAAGCAAACUAACAAGAAGGUGGACGACUCAGAAACGUCUGCUAUGAUACCACAAGAGAACAAUGUUUUGAAAUUGUUCGAUAUCCUGACUGGUGGGAUACUCGAAGUAAUAACACAAAGCAGAGAUAAAAAACUGCAGUAGCUGAAUCCACAUCCACUACAGAUCUUAGAAAAGAAUCUUCAGCGCAAAUUGCAACCUCUGUCAAUUCAGGUAAGGUCAUUAAAACUCUUACAUUUGUUAUUAAUAGUAUAUGGAUAAUUGAUUAUGGUGCAACUGAUCAUAUGACUUUUGAUUCUUGACAAGUUUCUUAAUUGAAACCAUCUUCACAUAAACAUGUUUCUACUGUAAAUAGAACCACAACCUCAGUUAUUGGGGAAGGAUCUUUACAACUCACAAUUAAAUCAAAUUUAGACUUUGUGUUAAUUGUUCCAUCUUUAAAUUAUAAUCUUUUAUAUGUGUCUCAAAUAACCUCUUACUUAUCAUGUGUUGUAAUGUUUUGGCCCGAUCAUUGCAUGUUUAAGGACAUCCAAAUGAAGGAAACGAUUGGUUAUGAUAUUAAAUAAGGCAACUUGUAUUACCUGGAGAUGACAUCAACAAACACUGAAAAGCUAAGCCCCGCAUUAGUAGCAGACAAUUCCAUGAAAAAAAAGGAAAUAAGAAAUUUGGUUAUGGCAUAGACGAUUAGGGCAUGUGUCAUUUGAUUUCUUAAAAAAAUUGUUUCCUAGUUUGUUUCUGAAAUUUGAUAUUUGUAACUUUAAAUAUGAUGUUUGUGAACUUUCAAAUAGCCAUCGAACUACUUUUCCAUUGUCCUUAAAUAAGAAUCCAAUUCCUUUAAUGGUAGUACAUUCUGAUGUAUAGAGACCAUCUAAAGUUUCUACCAUUGGAAGAGCUCGUUGGUUUGUUACAUUUAUUGAUGAUUGUAGCAGAAUGACAUGGAUUUUUUUAUGAAAUUAAAAUCAUAUGAUGGUGACAACUCUAUUUCAGACACAAAUUUGAGUUCUACAUACUGAUAAUGGAGGCGAGUAUAUGAGCACAACAAUUCAACAGUUUUUGAAAUCACAAUGAACUCACCACCAAACCACUUGUGUGGGGACACUCCAACAAAAUGGCGUUGCUAAACAAAAAAAUAGACAUUUACUAGAAGUUGUUCAAGCAUCACUAAUUUAGGCCCGCAUGCCACUAUUUUAUUGGGGAGAAGCAUUGGCAUCCGUAGCAUACUUGAUCAAUCGGACACCUUCAAUCUUCCUUGGAUUCCAAACUUAUUUUCUAGUUCUAAAUGAAGAAUUAUGUCAUCAAAUGUGUCGAAUUUACCCCCACAUAUGUUUGGUUGUGUUGCCUUCGUUCAUUUGCCAUGACAAGAUAAAUUAUCUCCUCGAGCACUACGUUGUGUGUUUGUAGGGUAUGCCUUACAUCAAAAGGGGUACCGAUGCUAUCAUCCUCUAUUAAGAAAAAAUAUACAUCACCAUGGACAUAAUCUUUCAUGAAGAUAUCAUGUAGUACCCAUCGGAGCUUGAAUUUCAGAGGGAGUAUAAUGAAGAGGAAAUUCAUACUCUUACAUAUCUUUCACCUGAAGAAGAUCAAUCCUCCAUUGAGGUAGUAAACGUUCAAGAUACUGGAAAAGAAAACGACAAUGAUUCUCAGGCUGAGACAAGUGAAGACACAUUUAGGGAGCAAAAUAACUCAGACAUAACCACAAUCGAGAACGAGUCCAUGAAGAGCCACAUGAAGAAAUAUCUAACCAAUCAUCUGCAGAGGAUGAUCCUACCACAAAUCCCAGUCUAAUCAGAAGAAUACUUCCCCAGCAUCAAAAUAGAGGUAUCUCUAAACCCACAUAUAAGACUGACCUCUCUAGUAGAGUCAAAUACCCUAUGAGUCAUUUUGUAUCUAACCAUGGCUUAUCAAAAUCAAAUCAGUCAUUUGUGAAUCAAUUAUCUACUGUGUCUAUUCCUAACAGUGUGCAAUAAGCCUUAAAAUAUCGAAAGUGGAAAGGGCUAUGAAUGACGAAAUGAGAUCUCUUUAAAAAAAAUCAAACAUGGGAACUAAUUGAUCUUCCACCAGGAAAGAAACCAGUGGGUUGCCGAUGGAACUAGUUGAUCAUCCACCUCCAUUCUGACAAGCAAUGUUUAUCAGCAAUAACAAAUGACUGAAGCAUUUUAAUGAGGUUAGUAACGAAAAAGAGUUUAAUUAGAGAAUAUUAUAAGAGAAAUUCUAAUUUUUGAUUUUUAAUAAAUUAAAAUAUCUUAAAAUAUUAUUAGUUGGUGGUGGUUUCAUGUCAGAUUAAGACGUGACACCUUACUAAUGAGGUCGAGACAAUUAGCUUAAAUUAUUUCAAUGCAUUUGAAAUUUCCACUAAUGACUAUAAUUCUUUGUCCUAAUUACUAUGAUAAUUAAUAACAUACAAUUGAAAUAGUUAAUAUUAGCACUUGGCAAUAAAUAAUUAAAUUUCAUUAACACUAAAUAAUAAUUGAAUAUGGCUUUGUACAUCGAUGACGCCAGCAACAAGGGGACCGCGAUUAUCACUCUUUAAGUUGCUUUUAAAAUUGAUUUUAGUAGUGAUAUGAUUAUUGUAGUGUUUUUAUUUUUUAUAUUAAAAUUAAGUGAUUUGUUAUAAUAAACUUAGUUGAGUUUAAUGGUAUUACUACAUAAAUUGAAUAGUUAUCAAAUAUUUUAAUAUUUUUAUGGCAAGCGUUGACGUGGCAUUUAUUUGUUGUAUGAUGGAUUUUAAAAUUUAUAAAAUUAUUUGUUAUUAAAUUACCCCCAGAUGCUACAUCACCUGAAACUUAAUAAAGGUAUGAAGACAUGUGUGUGUGGACUGAAAUGAAGAAUAUGGAAAAGUUGAGAGCUGUUGUGCAGAUUGAGUUCAGUUGAUGGGGUCUAUUAGAUAUUGUCUGCUGACGUGGCAUGAAUUCGUUAUAAUCUGUUAUAACGAGUUCAGUAUAUCAGUAUACAAUAGAGCUGAUGGAUGGUGCCUGUUUUAGAGUCUUUUUUAUAUUCAUUUGUUCAUCAUUUUGCGCAAGAUCUGUUCCAUUGUGAUAUGUGUAAAGUCUUAUGUAAACCCACUUAUGAUUGGAUUAGUUCUUGAUUAAUAACAACGAGUAAAUUUUCCUUCAAGUGUGCUGGUCUGUGCCCCUGUUUUUUGUUCUGAUAUUGUUUCUUUGUUCUGGCAUUUCAUUUCGAUUGUGUUCUUGGUGUUUCUACUCAUCAAGAUUUAUGAGUCUUGUUGAGAUUAAAGACUUAAUAGUCUUAACAAGUGGUAUCAGAGCCUGGUGAAUCUCAGCCAUGUCUCUUUCGAAGCAUGAAAUUGAAAAAUUCACCAUUGGUGGUGAUUUCUCGCUUUCGAAAUUAAAAAUGAGGGCUCUCCUUGUGCAUUAGAGGCUUGAAUUUGCUCUGGAAAAAGAUAAUCUAGAGGCUGCUACAAGUUAUGUGACUGAUGAUAAGAAGAGACAAAUCCAAAACCGAGCUCGUAGCACUCUAGUUUUGAGUCUUGGUGACUCAAUCUUGAGAAAGAUUUCUGAAGAGAAGACAACCUUAGGGAUUUGGAACAAGGUAGAAGCUUUGUGUACAAAGAAGUCGCUAGCUCACAGACUAUUCUUGAAGAAAAAGUUAUACACAUUCUCGAUGAGAGAAGGAGUCACAAUUCAAGAUCACAUUGAUACCUUCAACAAGAUCAUUCUUGAUCUUGAAGGGGUGGAAAAUGUGACAAUAAGUGAUGAAGAUAAAGCCUUCUUCUUGUUGAGUUCCUUACCAAAGUCUUAUGAAGGCUUUGUAGAUACAAUGCUUUAUGGCAGAACAACAUUGACUCUUGAAGAUGUUAAAGCAUCUCUAAGUUCAAAAGAGAUUCAGAAGAACAAUGAGAUUGAAACAAAUAAUGGUGAUGGGCUGAUUGCCAGAUCAGAAAAGAAGAAAGAUCAGAAGAAUAAAAAUCAGGGAAAAUGACAUGGAAAGAAUUAAGAAAAUGCAGACAAGAAGAAAAAGAAGAGAAAAUGCUUCUACUGCCGGAAGGAAGGGCAUUACAUCAGGGAUUGUCUUAAAAAGAAAAAAAAAGAAAGUCAAGAGAAGUCAGGGGAUGCAGCUGUAGCCUCUGAUGAUGCCUCUGAUGGAUAUCACAUUGCUGAUUUACUUGUGGCCUCAAAUAGCAAUACUAAAGGUCAGUGGGUCAUAGACUCUGAGUGCUCUUUUCACUUGUGGCCUGAUAAAACCAUAUUUUACAAAUAUGAAGUUGUUGAUGGUGGUAGAGUCUUAAUGGGAAAUAAUAAUGUGUGUAAUCUUGUUGGUAUUGGUUCUGUGAAGAUCAAGAUGUUUGAUGGAACUGUAAGAGCUCUACAUGAGGUGAGGCAUGCUCCUAGGCUAAAGAGAAAUCUAAUCUCUUUAGGCAUGCUAGACAGCUUAGGGUAUUUCUUUAAAUCAGAAAGUGGUGGUUUAGAGAUAAGAAAGGGGACUGAGAUAGUGAUGAAGGGGGUUAAAGAAAAUGGCUUAUAUGUAUUGUAAGGCUCAUCAGUGCUUCUUCAAAAGGGAAUUUCUGCUCUUUUUGAGGAAGAUAUAACCAAGUUAUGACAUCUUAGACUUGGUCAUAUGAGUGUCAAAGGGAUGUAAGAGCUCAGCAAACAAGGGCUACUUGGUGGGGAUAGAAUCCAGCAACUGGAAUUAUGUGAAAAUUGCAUUUUUGGCAAAGCUCACAGGUCCAAGUUUCACAAGGGGGAGCAUAUGUCUAAGCAAGUUUUGGACUAUGCACAUGCUGACCUUUGGGGGCCUGCUCAAGUCCCAUCCUUGAGUGGUGGCAGGUAUUUCAUAUCACUAAUUGAUGAUUACUCAAGGAAGAUGUGGGUCUACAUACUCAAGACCAAAGAUCAAGCCUAGGAAAAAAUUCAAGGUAUAGAAAUCUUUGGUAGAAAAUCAAUUUGGAUUCAAGCUCAAAUGCUUGAGAACUGAUAAUGGUUUGGAAUUUUGUAGCAAAGAAUUUGAGGAAUAUUACAAAAAAACAUGGCAUAAAAAGGCACAAAACAGUCAGGUUCACCCCCCAGCAGAAUGGCUUGGCUGAAAGGAUGAACAUGACCUUGGUAGAUAAGACCAGAUGUAUGUUGAUAAAUUCAAAGCUUCCAAGAAGCUUUUGGGCAGAAGCUGUCAAUACAACAAGUUGUUUGGUUAACAGAAGCCCAUAUUCUGCAAUUGGCUUCAAAACACCAGAAGAAUUGUGGAAGGAAAAACCUGUAAAUUACCAAAAUCUCAGUGUUUUUGGAUGCCCUGCUUAUCUCCACAUCAAUCAAGGCAAGCUGGAAGCUAGGGCCUUGAAAGGAGUCUUUGUUGGAUAUCCUGAUGGGGUUAAGGGAUACAUAAUCUGGUGUAGAGAGUAAGGGAAGUGUAUAGUCAGCAGGGAUGUUGUGUUUCAUGAAUUUGGAUUGCUAAAAGAAAAUGCAGAGAAUGAUACUAGACUACAAAAUGAUUCAAUAAUUAUCAAACAAUCUGGAACUUCCAAGGUUAAGGUGGAGCUGUUUGGAAAUAAAGACAGUAGAAAAGAGGUAGCUGAUUAUGAAGAGAGGACCACAGCUAAAGUUGAGGAACAUGAGUCAUCAGAGUUGCCACAAGCUGACUUGCAGACUUAUCAGUUAGCAAGAGAUAGAGUUAGAAGAGAAGUCAAAGCACUAGUGAGGUAUGGCUAUGCUGACUUAAUUACUUAUGCAUUGUUGUGUGCUGAUGAUGUGGCAAUUGAAGAGCCUGCUAACUUCUCUGAAGUUAUUGAAAGUGUGCAUUGUGAUAAGUGGCUUGAGGCAAUGCAAGAUGAAAUGGGAUCCCUUCAAAGAAAUCAGACCUGGACACUUGUUCCAAAUCUAGGUAAUAAAAAGUUGAUCAGUUGUAAGUGGAUCUUCAAGAAGAAUGAAGGAAUUCCAGAUGUUGAACCUCCCAAAUAUAAAGCAAGGCUAGUGGCUAGGGGGUUUACACAGAGAAAGAGUGUAGAUUUCAAUGAAAAAUUUUCCCCUGUUCUUAAGCACAUUUCAAUAAGAAUUUUAUUAGUCAUGGUAGCCUUACUUGACUUGGAGCUUGAGCAAAUGGAUGUAAAAACAGCAUUCCUUCAUGGUAAUCUUGAAGAACAGAUAUUGAUGGCACAACCUAAAUGUUUUGAGUGCAAAGGAAAUGAGGAUUAUGUUUGUUUGCUGCAUAAGUCCUUGUAUGGACUCAAGCAAUCCCCACGACAGUGGUACAUAAGAUUUGAUGAUUUUAUGGUCUCAAAAGGCUAUCACAUAAGCAAAUAUGACAGUUGUGUUUACUUUGGUGGAUCAUAUCAAGGUGGAGUUGCUUAUUUGCUUCUGUAUGUUGAAGAUAUGUUAAUUGCAAGAAAAUAUAAGUUGGAGAUAGAGAGGUUGAAGAAAUGAAGGAUCUCGGCAAUGCCAAAAGAAUCCUUGGGAUGAACAUUACAAGGGGCAGAUCUGCUGACACUUUGUUCUUGAGUCAUGAGAAAUAUAUCAAGAAGGUUCUGGAGAGGUUUGAGAUGCAAGACUAUAAACCUGUCCAAACACCACUUGGUCCCCAAUUCAAGUUGACAGCAGCUCAAUCAUCAGAAGAUGAGUCUCAGGUGAGUGAAUUCCCAUAUGCACAGGUUGUAGGGAGCCUGAUGUAUGUAAUGGUAUGCACCAGGUCAGAUAUAGCUUAUGCAGUAAGUGUUGUCAGCAAAUUUCUCAGUUGUCUAGGCAAGGUUCACUGGAAUGUUGUAAAAUGGAUAAUGAGAUAUCUUAAGGGCUCUUUUACUUGUGGUUUGCUGUAUGGGAAGACUAAGAGUGACAUAAGUGAAGUCCUGGGGUUUGUAGACUCUGACUUUGCUGGAGAUCUUGAUAGAAUGAAGUCAACCUCAGGGUAUAUGUUUGUGUUAAACAGUUGCCUGAUUAGCUGGAAGUCAUCACUUCAGUCUGUGGUUGCUUUAUCCUCAACUGAAGCUGAGUUUGUUGCAACUACAGAGGCAGUAAAAGAGGCCAUGUGGCUAAGAGGUUUGCUUAAUGAGUUAUGGUUAAAUCAGAAAAUUGUUCAGGUUUUCUGUGAUAACCAAAGUGUCAUACACCUGGUAAAGAAUCAGAUGUAUCAUGAAAGAACCAAGCACAUUGAUGUGAAGCUCCAGUUUAUCAGAGAUGAGGUUGGAAAAGGAACUAUAAUUGUGUCCAAGAUCUAUACCAGUGUGAAUCCAACUGAUGUUAUUACAAAAGCACUUCCCACUGCAAAAUUUGAAUUCUAUGUGAAUCUAAUGGGCAUCUCGCCCAAACCUAACUAAAUUCAAUAGUGAAUUGUAGUUGAAUGAAGGUUUUUUAGGUGCUGUGUUAUUGAAAGGAUCAACUGAAUCAACUGCAAGGUGGAGAAUGUGAAGAUGUGUGUGUGGACUGAAAUGAAGAAUAUGAAAAAGUUGAGAGCUGUUGUGCAGAUUGACUUCAGUUGAUGGGGUCUAUUAGAUAUUGUCUGCUGACGUGGUAUGAAUUCGUUAUAAUCUGUUAUAACGAGUUCAAUAUAUCAGUAUAUAAUGGAGCUGAUGGAUGGUGCCUGUUUUAGAGUCUUUUUCGUAUUCAUUUGUUCAUCAUUUUGCACAAGAUUUGUUCCAUUGUGAUCUGUGUAAAGUCUUCUGUAAAUCCACUCAUGAUUGGAUUAGUUCUUGAUCAAUAACGAGUAAAUUUUCCUUCAAGUGUGCUGGUCUGUGCCCCUGUUUUUGGUUCUAAUAUUGUUUCUUUGUUUUGGCAUUUCAUUUCGAUUGUGUGCUUGGUGUUUCUACUCAUCAAGAUUUGUGAGUCUUGUUGAGAUUAAAGGCUUAAUAGUCUUAACAAAAGGGAAUGUAGCAUUGCCAUUAAUCAACAUUCACUCUUAUGACUUUAUGACAUUAGAAUUAAAAUCUUUCGUACAUUUAAUUUAUUUGCUUCCAAAUUAAUCUUUAAUAAAUAUUUUUUCACAUUAUCAUCAAUGGACAAAACUCCAACGAAAAUAACUACACGAGAACAAUUUAUGCUAGUAUUAAAUGCCACGAUAUCUAUAACUUUGUCUGGAUCGAUCAUUCUAAUUUUUUCGCAGAACUUUUUGUCAAUGGACAAACACCUCACAGAGCUUGUCAGCCGCAUUAUUACGAUGUAAAAUUGUACCGGAAUAUCUUGAAUUAUUAGUAGAAUAAUGAAGACUAUUUGGGGCAAUAAAAACAAAUAACGCAGAUAAAAAAAUGGCUAAAAUUAUGUAAGUGAGCCCCAAAGUUUUUGCUAUUUCCAGGAAAUCCCAAAUUUGAAUGGACUAGAGGGAGGCACGUAAGAAAUACAUUUUCUUCCUAGACAAUGACAGCUAUGACAUCAAGCCACGGUGGCGUCAGUAUUGAAAUUAAGGUGUAAUUAUUCAGCCAAUGAGCCUUACACAUCAAGAUAAAAGUCAAGAUAAUGAAAAUUUGGCUGUUUCCAUUUGAAGUUAAAAGCAACGUUUCUUUCGUUUUGUGGGCGACUCGACUGAGCACGCCCCAAUAGCUAUAUUUAGGGCGUCAAUUUGAUAUUUGAAUGGACAGGCAAGUAAGAAAUACAUUUCCUUCAUAGACAAUGACAACGAGGACAUCAAGCCACAUCAUUAUAGUUUGUAGCCCAUCUACAUUUAAACGAUUAAUAAACAAGCUUAGGUGUGCCACUGCUAUUAUUAAUUAUCCCCUGAUCAUUAUAGUUUCUGAAACAGUAAAACUAAACGAAAUUGAAUACAUCAACGAGACCGCAAUUAUCACUUGUUUAGUUGCGGUAUUUAACUUAAUUUUAAUAUAAUAUAUUUGUUAGUUAAACUUUUAAUAAUCAAAUAAUUUUGAUUUAAAAAUAAAAUUAUAGAAAUUAUUAAUUAUUAAUUAUUAAAAAUUCACAAUUAAGGGAACGUUCAUCAAACACACAUAGCUAUUGUUUUCUCUAUAUAUUGCAGUGUGUACGAUAUUGAGGGUUGAAGCCCCAAGCAUGCUCUAAAAUCCAGAUAAUAAUUAGAUCCGGGCCAAAUAUUCAUCAUUGUGUCAGCUGAUCAGUCGGUGGACAUCUCUAUUGAAAAUAUCUCUGACAUUUCACUCGACAAACUUAUUAAUAUAAAAAAUCUGUGGUUUUGCCGUCUGAAUAAUGUAGAAAAAUUUGUCUAUGCAUUAAUCUAGAUGUUUGAGGUGAUUUAUACAUCUGUGGUAAAGAUUUAUAGGUUGACUUAGACGUCUGUGGUAUAGAUUUUAUGUAUUUCAUUACAAAAUGCUGGCCGUUAGAACCCUUUCUACAUCUAUUUAUAAGAUUAACGGGUGCCAGCUAUGCCAUUACAAAUUAUCCCCUCAUCAGAUAUUUCGUUAAAAUUCAUUCUGAAACACUAAAACUAAAUAAUCGAAUAUGGCUUUGCGGGUCGAUGAUGCCAGCAGCAAUGAGACUGCAAUUAUCACUUGUUUAGUUUCUGUGCUGGCCGUGGUUUACUUCGCAUGGAAUGUGAAAAAAUCAAGGAAAGCAAAUGCUACACUGCCACCAGGACCUCGCGGCUUGCCUGUAUUCGGAUACCUCCCAUUUCUUGGAACUACUGACUUGCACAAGAAAUUCACGGAAUUAUCCGGAGUUUAUGGUCCGAUCUUCAAGCUUUGGCUUGGAAAUAAAUUAUGUGUAGUGGUGAGCUCACCUUCCCUAAUUAGACAAGUGGUUCGUGAUCAAGAUACAACAUUCGCGAACCGUGACCCACCGAAGGCUGCACUAGUGGUCUCCUAUGGUGGCAAUGAUAUUGCAUGGUCCAAUUACGGUCCCGAAUGGAGAAAGUUGCGCAAAUUUUUUGUGGGCAAGAUGAUGAAUAACGCAAGCCUUGAUGCUUGUUAUGCUCUAAGAAGACAAGAGGUUAAAAAUACUAUCAGGGAUUUGUAUAACAACGACAACAAAAUUGGCAAGCCCAUUGACAUUGGUGAAUUGUCGUUUUCAACAUUGGUAUGUGCUAUACAGAACAUGCUGUGGGGUGAAGCGCUUGAAUUAAAAGAGAAAGGGACCACUAAUCUUAGGGCUGGGCUAAAAUUUAAGCUGGCAGAACUCAUGGUGCUUGCGGGAACACCGAAUAUUUCGGAUGUCUUUCCAAUGCUUUCAUGGCUUGACAUACAAGGUAUAGAGAGGAGAGCAAAGAAGAUUUCACUCUGGCUUGAUAAUGUUAUAAAUUCUACUGUUGAACAGCAUAGAAACAAGGAGUUAACUGUUGAAGGUGAAGAAAGAGCGGGGAAAAAUUUUGAAGGAUCAAGGAACAAGAACUUCUUGCAGUUACUAUUGGAGCUUCAAGAAAAUGAUGACAGUGCUUCCUCAAUUAGCAUGAACCAAUUCAAGGCCGUACUCGCGGUAUGUUAAGCAACUAGCCACGAACAGUUAUACAAGCACAAUUGUAUAUUUGCAUGAGUGAUAUUUUCAACCUUUUUUUUUAAUUAGAAUUUUAUUGUCACCUUUUGGACAGGAUAUAAUUACGGCUGGAACCGACACCACAACUACGAUGGUGGAAUGGACAAUGGCAGAGUUGAUGCAGCAUCCACAAGUAAUGAAGAAAGUUCAGGAAGAAUUAGCUCAAGUUGUGGGCAUGGACAGUUGUGUUGAAGAAUUUCACCUGUCUAGAUUAAUGUAUUUAGAUGCUGUGGUGAAGGAAACAUUUCGUCUGCAUCCUGCAGUGCCUUUAUUACUACCACGUAGGGCAAGCGAGAGUGGCAACAUUGGUGGCUAUACCAUUCCCAAAGAUACAACUCUUAUGUUGAAUGUUUGGGCUAUCCACAGGGACCCUCACCUUUGGGAUAAUCCCUUAGAAUUUCGACCCGAGAGGUUUCUGAAUGUUGGUAUCGAGAGUAAGUUCGAUUACUCAGGUAACAAUUUUCAGUACUUGCCAUUUGGUUCUGGUAGAAGGAUGUGUGCUGGGAUUCCUCUAGCUGAGAGGAUGCUGAUGUUUGUUUUGGCUUCGUUAUUGCACUCAUUCGAGUGGGAAUUGCCAACUGGCACAAAGCUAAACUUAUCAGAAAAAUUUGGGAUUGUCAUUAAGAAAAAAGAGCCUUUGGUUGCUAUUCCAACACCAAGACUAUCCAAUUCAGAGCUCUACCAUUAAGACCAAAUGGUUGUGAUGAUUUUGUUAAUUUCCGAAGAUUUGUAUGUUAUUUCAAGUUCAAUCGUAGUAAAAUAUUUCAAAUAAGAGUCCUCCGUUGCUUUUUUUUUUUUUUUUCAACGGCAUAAUCUGUGGUCAUGCUUGUAUUUGGAGCCACUUUAGAAAAAUUAUGUUUGAAUUACAAUUUAUAAAUAUUACAUUUUAAAAUAUUAUGAGGCUAAAUUUAUACACGUUCAAUAACCCGCUUCAUAUAUAUUUAACACAAUUUAUAUCAUACAUUGUACACCCAUUUAUCAUAAAUUACACUAUUUUGUAUCUCUAAAUAAUAUUACGUAUUGAUAUUAUAAAAUAUAUAUGGAAAAGAGAACAAAGAAGAUUUCUUAUGGUUUGAAAAUAUUAUGAAUUCUGCUGUUGAACAGUAUGGAAACAAGGUCUCUGUUGUUAAAGGUGAAGAAGCAACAGGGAACAAUAUUGAAGGAAGAAAUUUCACAUGUUUAGUUGCUGAAUUUGCCGCUGUAUUCUAUCGGUAGUAAAAAAAUUAGAGUUUUUAUUUUUCUCUAUUAAUGUUAAGUCAAUUUUCUAUAACAAAUUCGGUUGAGUUUAAUUGUGUUACAAUAUAAAUUGAAUGAUAAUAGAAUUUUCAACGAAUAUUUCAAUAUUUCUAUCUCGAUUGUUGAAGUGCCAUUUAUUUGUUAUGCGAUCGAUUUUAAAAUUUAUAAAAAUUAUUUGUUACUAAAUUGCAUCAUAUGCUAAAAUCACCUGAAACCUAAUUCCAUAACUAACCCUUUAUUUUUAGUUCUCAAGAAAUCUUGUAAGAACAAAAUUCUUUUAUAACAAAACUUUUACAACACAUUAAUUUGUAACUCAUUCCUGUGCGAGAAUCACUCUCAAAUUCCUUCAAUUGCUGUUGAACAAUCAUCUGCUUAUCAAAAUUCAAGCAUAAUCUUUUCUUUUUUUUAAUUUCUUCAUCAUUCUUUUGAAAAAAAAAAAUCAGGAUAUGCUGUUAAAAUUUUGAAAUAAAUUAUCUCAAAAUAAUUACUAACCAGAAAAAACAAAGGGGUUUAACUAGGUUAUGCAUACCUUUGAAAAUUAUAUGUUGAUCGAUAAGAAUGAUGAUCACGAUUGAGGAGUUUAAUUAAAAUAUAUAAGAUUUUAAAAUUAAUCAGGGUUAAAUUGUGAAUUUUAGAAAGAGAGGUUUUGUGAGAAUGCUGAAAGGGUGUUAAUAGUUCCACUCUUUUUAAAAGCAACCAUAGUCAUCAUUUUUCCCGAUUUCUUCUUCCCAUCUCCAUCUUAUUUAGAAAUUUCCCAGAGCCUUUGUUUCCCACCUUUCAUUGUUCUUCUUUCUAAUUUAAUACUAUAGGAUUACAAAAAUAAUUACUCACAUUUUAUCAAACACCUCCAUUCUACCAAGGCCUUGUUUUAGUAGUAGGCUUUUAUUAUCUCAAUAAAAUUGAAAAAACAAAUCUCAAUAAUAUUGGAAAAAAAAAACCUACCCAUAUUUGUAACUUUAAUUUAUUAUUCUCCAUAGACCUACUUUUUAGCUUUGAAUUUUGUUGGAGCCAUAUAUAAACAGAAUAUGUUGAAUCAGCACCAAAAAAAAAAAAAAAAAACUAAUUAUAUAAUUUCUGUUCCCAAGGACAUGACUGAUUGAUUUUCAAGAAGUUUUGUUUGGCUGGCUACUUAGGUUUAAAUCUUGGUGGAGAUUAGGGGUUAAGAAAUAAAUUUGGACUUUGCACACCCCUUUAACUUUUAAAAAGAAAUGAAAAAAACUAAUUAAUUAAUCUUUAUUUUAUUUAUUAAAUAUCAUAAUCCUAUGCGUAUUUUAUUUGUUAUCUUUCUAUUUAAAAGACAGGAGGGCAGAUAAAACUGAAAUAAAUUUUUAGCCCUAUCUCCAUCUUUCAAGUUCCAUAGUUAGGUGACCAGGUAAAGAAAAUUAAUUGAAAGCUACUCCAUCAAAUUAAAAAAUUUUAUUUAUUUAAUUUGUGGAGAUGUAGAAAAUCAAACCCCAUGCCUUUUCGCGUGGAAAAGUGUCAACCUGGUCUAGCUAUGUUGCAAAAGUGAACAUAUUUUAAUACAUGACUAUCAUCCUUUAUCCUAAAUACUACUAUAACUAAUAACAUACAAUUGAAAUAAUUAAUGUUAACACUUGGCUAUAAAUAAAGGUUUUGUGCUUGAAUCUUCACGCAUGACCUUCAUUCCUUUAUUUACUUUGCUAACACAGAUUUUGAGGCAUUAAAACUAAAUAAUAAUUGACUUUGUGGGCCGAGGAUGCCAGCAACAAGGAGACCACAAUUAUCACUUGUUAAGUUACUCUAAUUGCCGUUGUCUUAUAUUCAUAGAAUAUUAGUAAUAAGAUUAUUGUAGAAUUUUUUUAUAUUAAAAUUAAGUCAAUUUGUUAUAACAAAUUUAGUUGAGUUUAAUCGUGUUACCACAUAAAUUGAAUAAUAAUAAAAUUCUCGACAAAUAUUUCAAUAUUUUUAUCCCAAGCGUUGGAGUGGCAUUUAUUUGUUAUACGAUCAAUUUUAGAAUUUAUAAAAUUAUUCGUUACUGAAUUGCACCAUAUGCUGCAUGACCUGAAACUUAAUAAACGGAACGUAGCGUUGGCACCGUUACUCAACAUACUGUUACGACUUUGUGACAUUAGAAUUAAAAUCUUUUGCACAUUUAAUUUGUUUACUUCCAAAUUAAUAUUUAACAAAAUAUUUUUUCACAUUAUCAAUGGACAAAACUCCAACGAAAAUAACUACACAAGAAAAAUGUAUGCUAGUAUUGUGUGCCAUAUCAUCUGUAAUUUUGUCAGGAUCGAUCAUUCUAAUUUUUAAGCAGAACUUUUUAUCAAUGGACAAACACCUCACACAGCUUGUCAGAGGCAUUAUUAUGAUGGAAAACUGUAAUGGUAUAUCUUGAAUUAUUGGUAGAAUAGUUCUUUGGAGCAAUAAAAACAGAUAAGACAGAUGAGAAAAUUGUCAAUACCCCACCGCAAAAGCAAAAGAAAAAAAGGAAAGGAGACAAAAGAGGAAGAAGAAAAAGAAAAAAGAACGAAGAAAAAAAUGGUGCCGCGCGGUAUAGGCAAGAAGAAAAAAUAAUAAUAAAAUAAUAAAAUAAUAGUGCACAACAGUCAUUUGAUUGCUAUAAAUAAAGGGGCAUUUCCCUCAUUUUAUUCAUCGAAUUCUUCAGUUCCUAAGCGAUUUAAGAGUCUAGUGAUUUGAGAGUUUGGGUAUAGUAUAGUUUUGAGUAGUGAGUUAAAAUAUUACAAUACUUAUAACUUAUUUUUACUAAUAAAAUAUUUUUCUUCUAUCUUCACCCGUGGACGUAGGGUCAAAGCCGAAUCACAUAAUUUUUAGUAUCCCUAUGUGAUUAUGUAUCUCAUUAUUUUUCAAUUUUACUUUAGUUACGUGUCUGCUACAUCCUUCAAUUUACUAACAAAAAUGGCCAAAAUUAUAUAAGUGACCCAAAUUUUUUUGCUAUUUCCAAGAAAUCUCCAAUCUGAAUGGGCCAGACCAGAGGGAGGCAAGUUAGAAAUACGUUUCCUUCAUAGACAAUAACAGCGAUGAGUCGAUGACAUCGAGCCACGUCGGUAUCAAUAUUGAAUUAAAGGUGCAAUUAUUCAGCCAAUGAGCCUUACACAUCAAGAUAAAAGUCAAGAAAAUGAAUAUUUAUCCUAAUUAAAACACUUUCUGGCUGCAUUUAGUUGUUUCCAUUUGAAGUUAAAAGCAACGUUUCUUUCGUUUUGUGGGCAACUCGACUCAGUUAGCUGGCUUCUAGUGCUAGUAAGUGAAAAUAGAAGGCUAAUGAUUUAUUUGUUAUCUUUUGAUAAAAUUAUUAAAGAUAUAAUAGAUUUUUCAUGAUACAAAUAAAAAAUCACAUCAACAUAGCUUCCAAAGUACAACAGCUAAUGUUUACCAAACACUUUGUUGUAGCUUUUAAGCUACAGCUGCCCAACUUUAAUUUCAAAUGCACCCUUAAUAGGUUGAUUGAAUUUGUGGGAUAUAGAUUCCACAUAUCGUAUGACCUAGUAACUAUACAAGUGGUUCGUGAUCAAGACACAACAUUUGCUUCCGGCCCGGUGACCCAGCAAUCGCUGCAUUGGUCGCCACCUAUGGUGCCAACGAUAUUGCAUGGUCCAAUUGUGGCCUUGAAUGGAAAAAGUUGAGCAAAUUAUUUGUGGACACGAUGAUAAGUAACGCAAGCCUUGAUGCUAGUUAUGGUCCAAGAAAACAAGAGAUAUGCAUAACAACAAAAAGGAAAAAAAAAAAAAAAAAAAAAAAGGCAUUUGCAAGCCCAUUGAUAUUGGUGAAUUGUCGAUUUCAACUUUGGCAUGUGUAAUCCAGAGCCUGCGCGCUGUGGUGUGGCGCUGGCACGCUUGCAUUGACGAGGGGACAAGUCUUGGGGCUGAGCUAACAUUUAAGCUCGCAGAACUCAUGGUGCUAAUGGGAACACCAAAUAUUUUUUGACAUAUUUUGGUGCUUUCAUGGUUUAAUUCAAGGUAUAGAAAGGAGUGUUGAGAAUGUCAAAUAAAACGGUAUUGAAUGGAAGUUGUUAAAGACACGAUCCGCACCGAACGACAACAGCACGGUUGCUAAAAAUCCUUCCGUAAUAGGCAUAUCUAAUUUUUGAAAAAGUGUAACCUCUACAUUUAUAAAUAUACUCAAUGUAUAAUGUUUUACUUAAGAAAUGAAAAACUUGUUUGUUCAAGGAGAAUAAAGAAAAAUUUUCUAUGAUUUUUCUAUGGUUUGAACAAAGAAGGUUUUAACGAGUAUUAUAGACCUCGAUUGAAUGUUCGAAUGUAUAAUAAAAGAGAAACUGUCACAUAAAUGACAAAGAUACUUGAAAAAAAAAAAAAAGGGCAGCAAUAGAGAAUUAGAUCCGACUGUACAAAUAACUAGUUAAUUCAUCGAUACAUCAUUUUCUUGCUAGAAAAUGACAAUUAUGACAGCAAGCCACGAUAGUGUCAAUAUUGAAAUUGAUUUGCAAUUAUUCAGCCUAUGAGCCUUACACGUCAAGAUAAAAGUCAAGAAAAUGAAAGUUAAUAUCAAUUAAAACACUUCCAUUUCUAUGUGAAGUUAAAAAACAACGUUUCUUUUGUUUUGUGGGGGAUUCAACUGAGCACGCGCCACUAGCUAGCUGGCUUCUAGUUCUAGCAUAUGAAAACAGAAUUCUAAAGAUUUCACUUUCACCUUUUUUCUUUUUUUGGGGUUUUGAAUCAAAGUCAAGGUCGCACUGAAUAAUAUGUAAAAUUUGAAAAAGAAGAAUUAAUAGAGAACAAAGUUUUGUUUUAAAUUCACAUGGUGUGCAUACAAUUCAACAAACACUUCCUAUAAUAAAUCUGGAGUUGUAUCCCACGUUGAACAAUAAAGGAAAGUCACCUAAAUAUACAUGUAGGAUAAGUUACUUUAUUUAGUAAGUUUGUAUUUUCUUCUUUCUUCUAGUUUACAUAUAAAUUUGAUUAGAUAACUUAACACAUAUUUUAAUACUUGAUCAGAAGCCCGACGUACAGGUGGAUCUAGAAACUUGAUUUCUAAGAGUAAUACUAUAAUAAAAAAAUAAUGAUUCAUAGAACCAAUAUCAAAAUUUGUUUACAAGAUUGCCCCCACUCAAAGGUAAUUUUCAUAGAAAUUAAUAGGAAAUUUAAUUGUUAGUGGGGUCAAAUUGCCCCCACACUCUGAAUGUAGAUCCACGCCCGACCCUGAGUCAAGUAUAUUUUGCCACAUAUACUCUGAAUGUCGGCAGGAAAAAUCUUCCACUUUAGUUAAAAAUUUUCACUUAAAAAAUAUUUAUGUUAAUAAAGUUCGUAAAGGAAAUGAGUUUAAUUAAUGAAUAUUAUAGGAGAAAUUAAAGGAAAUGAGUUUAAUUAAAGAAUAUUAUAGGAGAAAUUCUAUUGUUCGGCUUUUAAUAAAUUAAUUAAUAGGUUUAAAAGAUUAAUAUACAUCAAAAUAUUAUUAGUUGGUGGGGGUUCCACAUCGGACUAAUACGUGUCACCUUACUUGUGAGAUUAAGACAAUCGACUUAGACUAUUUAAAUAUGUUUGAAGCUUAGAUGGCACCGCUUCAAUUUGCAUUACUGAAUGUCAUUCUUUAUCCUAAUUACUACCGUAAUUGAUAACAUGCAAUUGAAGUAACUAAUAUUAGCACUUGGCUAUAAAUGAACUAAAGGCCGUGCAAUUGAAUCUUUACUUGAUCACUUCACUCCUUUAUUUUGCUAACACAGAUUUUGAGAUAUUAAAACGAAAUAAUAAUUGAAUCUGGCUUUGUGGGUCGAUGAUGCUAGCAAAAACGAGACCACAAUUAUCACUUGUUUAUUUGCUGUAUUUGACGUUGUUUCAUAUUGGUAGUAAUAGGGUCAGUUUUUAAUCUUUUUAUAUUAAAGUUAAGUCAAUUUGUUAUCAAAAAAAAAAAUUGGUUGAGUUUAAUUAUAUUGCUAUGUACAUUAAAUAAUUAUAAUAUUCUUGAGGGAAAAAGACACCUAGAACCUCAAGGUUUGGGGAAAUGGUCACAAAGACUCCUAAGUUUUAAAAAAGGAACACUAAGAUCUUUUUUUACCCAUAAUACCCUUUGACUAGAGUAAUUAAAAAAUUGACUUUAAAGGUUUUUAAAUAAUUCUAAUUUAAUAUAAAUCAUAUAAUCUAUCUAGUAAACUAAUAAUAUUAAAUUAUUUUUUAUAUUUAAAAUAAUGUUAAAUUUUAAAUUAUUAUAUUUAUAAAAUUAUAAAGAUUUUAAAUAAAUAUUUGGAUUGAAUAUAUUUUACAAUUAAAAGUCUUCCUAUUAAUAAUAUUAAAAUUUAAUUUUACAAAAUAUAUAUUCAAAAUAUUUUUAAUUUUAAUUUAUUUAUUUUAAUAUUAUGUUUCUACCUAUUAUUAAAAAUUACUUUAAUAUAAUAAAAUAGGUCUAAUAGAUUGAAAAAUAUGAAAAUAUUUUUAAAAUUUUAAAUUAUUUUGAAAUGUAUAUAUUAUUACAUUUAUUUCAAUGUCAUAUUUUCAUUUAUUAUAAAAUUUUGGGGUUAUUUUUUUGGGAAUUUAUAGAGUCAAAGAGCAUUAUAAUUUAAUCCAUGCACAAUAUCUAUAAUUAUAUCGGUUGUCGGCUGAUUUCGUGGAGGGGGCGGCAGUUCAAAAUUUUUACGUGCAUGUUGGAUGGACGUCUCUAUUAAAGGAGAGCCACCACUUGCAUGGUAAUUUUUUUAAAUAAAUAUAUACAUUUCAAAACAUUAUUUUCUUGUUGUAUAGUUAACAUGUCACCUUAGAUGUAUUUUAGAGCUUCUCCUAUUAAAGAUAAUCUCAUGCAGUGUUACAGAGUAUGGUAAUAUGGUAUAGAUGAGAGCAUCUGAUUAAAUGAAGCAGCUGGUAAUGCUUACGUGUGUGAGUUAGUUAUCCAGCUCAGCAGCAAAGCAAACGAAAUGAAUUGCAUGCAUAUUAGAUCCAACAAACUGGUAAACUCUAGAUUCUUCUUUCAUUUAGUAUAAAUACCAAGUUGUUAUCAUUUGCUAAAUAUAUAAUAAGAUGAUCAUUUUCAGAUCUUUCCUUUAUAAUUUUCUAUAACUUUCUCGUUAGUUUCUCUUGAACCAAACACUUUGUACGAACUCUUUCGUGCAGUGAUACUUCUCGUGAUCUAAUCAUUAGUAGAAUCUAUAAUUUCGCUACUGUAAUAAAAUCUGUCACUACCCUAUAUGAAUGUAGAUAUUUGACGCGAUUUGUAAUUGCUUCCGACAGGAAAACAGCAAUAGUUUUAUUGAAAUUUGUGGUAUAGAUUCCACGAAUCUUAUGACAGAAUACUGACCACUCCAACCCUAUCCGCAUUUACACGAUUAAUACACAAGCUUAGAUGUGACAAUGCAUUUGUCACUCAUUCAAAUUCAUCCUGAAACACUAUACACUAAAUAAUCGAAUAUGGCUUCGUGGGUCGAUGAUGCUAGCAGCAACGAGACUGCAAUUAUCACUUGUUUUGUUGCUGUACUUGUCGUGGUCUAUUUCGCAUGGAAUGUAAACAAAUCAAGUAAAGCAAAUGCUAAAUUGCCACCAGGACCUCGGGGCUUGCCAGUAGUCCGAUACCUCCCAUUUCUUGGAACUACUGACUUACACAAGACAUUCACGGAGUUAUCUGGAGUUUAUGGUCCGAUCUUCAAGAUUUGGCUUGGGAAUAAAUUGUGUGUAGUGGUGACCUCGCCUACCCUAGUUAAACAAGUGGUCCGUGAUCAAGAUAUAACAUUCUCAAACCGCGACCCACCGAUCGCUGGAACUGUGACCACCUACGGUGGCAAUGAUAUUGCACUUUCCAAUUACGGUCCCGAAUGGAAAAAGUUGCGAAAAUUAUUUGUGAGCAAGAUGAUGAGUAAUGAGACCCUUGAUGCUUGUUAUGCUCUAAGAAAACAAGAGGUUAAAAAUACUAUCAGGGAUUUGUAUAACAACAAUAAGGAUAAUAUUGGCAAUGGCAAUGGCAAGCCCAUUGACGUUGGUGAAUUGUCGAUUUCAACUUUGGUACGUGUUAUGCAGAACAUGCUGUGGGGUCAAGCAUUGGAAACAAGAGAGAAAGAGAUUACUAAUCUCGGGGCUAAUCUUGCAGAACUCAUGGUGCUACUGGGAACACCAAAUAUUUCGGAUAUUUUUCCAGUGCUUUCAUGGCUUGACAUGCAAGGUAUAGAGAGAAGAGCUAAGAAGAUUUCUCUAUGGUUUGAAAAUAUUAUCAAUUCUGGUGUUGAACAGUAUAGAAACAAGUUCUCUGUUGUUAAAGGUGAAGAAGCUGCAGCACGAAAAAAUAUUGAACGAUCAAGAAAUAAGGACUUCUUGCAGUUGCUGUUGGAGCUUCAGGAAAAUGAAGAUAGUGCUUCAUCUAUUAGCAUGAACCAACUAAAGGCCGUGCUCGUGGUAUGUUAAGCAACUAGACACAAAAAGUUGUAAAAGCACAGCGAUAUAUUUGCGCGAGGCCCCGAGUGAUGUUUUGCCUCGAGAACUCUCAAUUUUAUCUUACGGUAAAAAAUGUUUUUCAACUUUUUUUUUUAAUUAGAAUUUUAUUGCAAUUUAUUUAACAGGACAUAAUUGUGGCCGGAACCGACACCACAACUACGAUGGUGGAAUGGACAAUGGCAGAGUUGAUGCAACAUCCACAAGUAAUGAAGAAAGUUCAAGAAGAAUUCGCUCAAGCUGUGGGCAUGGACAGUUGUGUUGAAGAAUAUCACUUGCCUAAAUUAAAGUAUUUAGAUGCUGUGGUGAAAGAAACAUUUCGUUUGCAUCCUGCGUUGCCCUUAUUGGUACCUCGCACGGCAAGCAAGAAUAGCAACAUUGGUGGCUAUACCAUUCCCAACGACACUAAUCUUAUGUUGAAUGUUUGGGCUAUCCACAGGGACCCUCAACUUUGGGAUAAUCCCUUAGAAUUUCGACCUGAGAGGUUCUUGAAUGAUGGUAUCAUAAGCAAUUUCAAUUACUCGGGUAACAAUUUUCAGUACUUGCCAUUUGGUUCUGGUAGAAGGAUGUGCGCUGGGAUUGCUCUAGCUGAGAGGAUGUUGAUGCUUGUUCUGGCUUCGUUGUUGCACUUGUUUGAGUGGAAAUUGCCCUCGGGCACAAAGCUAGACUUAUCUGAAAAGUAUGGGAUUGUCAUGCGGAAAAAAGAGCCUCUAAUUGCUAUUCCAACACCAAGGCUACCAAAUUCAGAUCUCUACCAGUAAGAUCAAAAUGGUUUUGAUAAUAUUAUUUCCCAUUGUAUUGGAUUUGAAGUUCAAUCAUAAUAAAAUAUUUUAAUAAAAUGUCCUCGGUUGCUAAUUUUUCAAUAGUAUAAUCUGCACCUGUCUUUUAUAGCAAUUUGGUCUAAUUUAUUUUUGAAUUAAAAUCCAUAAAUAUUUAUAUUUUUUUAAUUAUAUUAGGAAUUAUGUGGGGUGUAUGGUCUGAUCUUCGAGCUAUGCCUUGAAAACAAAUUAUGCAUAGUCGUGCACACGCUUUCCCUAAUUAAGUUUGUGGUUCGUGCUCAAGGCACAGCAUUCACCCCCCGCGACCCAACAAUCGCUACAUUGUUCCCCACCUAAAGUGCCAACAUAUUGCAUAAGUAACGCAAAAUAUGGUCCCCAAUGGAAAACGUUGCGCAAAUUAUUUCUGGGCAAGAUGAUAAGUAACGCAAGCCUUGAUGCUUGUUAUGGUCUAAGAAAACAAGAGGUUAAAAAUACUAUCAGAGACAUAUAUAAAACAACAACAGAAAAAAUUGGCAUUAUCAUCGAUAAUGGUGAGUUGUGGAUUUCAACUUUGGUAUGUUUAAUUCAGAACCCGCAGUGGGGUGGCGCUAGCACGCCUGCGUUAGGAGACGAGGGGACCAAUCUUGGGGCCGAGCUAAAAUAUAGGCUUGUAGAGCUCAUGCUGCUAAUGGUAAUGGGAACACCUACUAUUUCGGAUACUUUUCCGAUGCUGGUUUAAUUCAUGGUUUAGAAAGGAGAACAAAGAAGAUUUUUCGAUGCUUUGAAAAUAUUAUAAUUUUUAUAAAAUCUCUUAUUGAUAACUAAACAACUAAAAUUUCUGUAAAGUUUUUGUGGACUUUUGAUCUCCUAUGGUGCCAAUAUUUUCGACUAAUUUUUUCCUUCAAUUAAUGAUGUUGGUUGAGAAAGACUAUUUUUCUUGCAAUAAUAUAGUAUUCGUGGUCCUAUUAGGGUUCCGAAUGGAGAAAGUUGCACUAAGUUUUUUGAGUACCAAAUGAUGAGUAAUGUACGUAAGCCUUGAUGGUAGUUAUGGUCUAAGAAAACAAGAGGUUAAAAAUACUAUCUGGGAUUUGUACAACAAUAACAAAAUUGGCAAGCCCAUUGACAUUGGUGAAUUGUCAGUUUCAACCUUGGUAAGUGUUUUCAGAACAUGCUGUGGGGUGAAGCGCUUGGAAUAAGAAAGAAACGGAUGACGAAUAUUGGGGCUGAGCUUAGAUUUAAACUUGCAGAACUCAUGGUGCUGUCAGGAACACCGAAUAUUUCGGAUAUCUUUCCAGUGCUUUCAUGGUUUGAUAUACAAGGUUUUGAGAGAAUAGCAAAGAAGAUUUCUCUAUGGUUUUAAAAUAUUAUCAAUUCUACUGUUGAACGCUAUAGAAACAAGGUCUCAGUUGUUAAAAGUGAAGAAGAAGACGCAGCAGCAGCAGCAGCAGGGAACAACAUUGAAGGAAGGAAUAAGGACCUGGUGCAGUUACUCUUGGAGCUUCAAGGUAAAGAAGAAAAUGCUUCAUCAAUUAACAUGACGCAAUUUAAGAGCUUGCUCGUGGUAUGUUUGCGCAACUAGCCACAGACAGUUACAGAAACUGAGUUUGGCAGAUUACGACCGUUUCUGGUGAUUAUAUAACUAUUUGUGGCUGUUUUUUGUUUUUUUUUUCUUUUAAUUGGAAUUUUAUUGUAAAUUUCUUAACAGGAUAUAAUUUAGGGUGGAACCAACACCACAACUAUAAUGGUGGAAUGGACAAUGGCAUAAUUGAUACAGCAUCCACAAGUAAUGGAGAAUGUAAAGGUAGAACUAAGUCGGGCCGUGGCCAUUGACAGCCAUGUUGAAGAAUUUCACCUACCUAAGUUAAAAUAUUUAGAUGUUGUGGUGAAAGAAACAUUCCGCACGAUAAUAUAAUAUAUGAAUCAUAUAUCCUCUAUUGGUUUUUUGCUCCUUUUUUUUUCAAUAGCUUAAUCUAUCAUUAAAAUCUUCUGAAAUUCUAAAUUAAUAUACAUUCAACCUAGAGUUCAACCCAAAGUUUUAUUGAGCAUUAAAAAAAAAAAUUCUACGACUAAAAAUUUUACAGAGUAUAAAUUAAAAAUUAUGCGCCUACUAACAGACAAAAAACAAUUGAUACACAUUCACCAAUCAAAGGCAAACAAGAGAUUAUUAACAAUAACUUAAUAAUAAAAUUAUAAGGAAUCAAAUAGAAAUGGUACCUAGAAACACAUCACGCCAUUUAAUCAAUCACUUACCCAUAAAAUCCAAACUUAUAAACUAUUAAGGGGGGGAAAUGGAUACCUUUGGGUUUCAUUAAAUCAAAAUUACAACACCAUUAAAUACUCAAAAAUGAAAAAAAAAAAAUCAUACCCAAUAAAAGAGAAAAAAAUAACCCACAAAAAAAAUCAUCAAGAAAAUAAAUUUGAGACUAAGAGAAGAUAUUAAUUAACGCCUGGGUUGCAUUGGAACCACGGCUUUGGCUUCCAUUUUUCAAUUCUUGGUCACAAGUGAUUUCUUGUUUGUUUGCAAUGAUGACGGUUGAUUAAUGAAGCUCUAUUAACAAUGAAUGAAUCAAAAAACUUGAGCCUUGAAAAGACUAACGGUCAUAUUUUUCAACUCCGAAUUAGUGGCGUUUGAUGAGUCCUUGCCAAAACAAUCACUCGGCAGAUAACGAUCAUUUUUCAACCAGCAAAACUCAUUCAUUGUUUUUCACCUUAGUGAAGAUUUAAAAAUUGUUUCAAAAUAGGAUUCUUAAAAAAAUAAUAAUAAAAUGAUAUUUAACUUAAUUCUAACUUAGGAAAACAAAAUAUCUACACUCCCAAAGUUUGGAGAAAUGGUCAUUAAUAUCCCCAACUUUCCAAAAAGAGACACCAAGAACCCUUUUAACCAUAAUACUAUUUACUUCUAUUAUCCCAAAAAACAAUUGACUCUAAUAUUUUAUAAUAAAUAAAAAUAUAACAUUAAAAUAAAUGUAAUAGUAUAUACAUUUUAAAAUAGUUUCAAUAUUUAAAAAGCAUUUUAAUAUUUUUAAAUUCUAUUUUAUAUAUAUUGAUUAUUUUAAAGUAAAUUUUAUAAUAAAUAGAAUCAUAAUAUUAAAAUAAAUGCAUUAAAAUUUAAAUUAUUUUGAAUAUUAUGUAAAAUAAUAAUUUUAACAUUAUUAGUAUAUGAGAAUUUUUUUAAUUGUAGAAUGCAUUUAAUGCAAAUAUUUAUUUAAAAUCUCUACAAUAAAUAAAAAUAUACUAUUAAAACAAAACUCUACAAUACAUACAUACAUACAUAUACAUUGGCCUGGUAUUUUUAUUUUUCAUUUUUAAACUUAUUAAAUCCUCUAACUAUCAUUUGAUUUUUUUUUUUUUUCAAUGAUCAAGAGGUCAUUGCCGGAUAAAUGAUUAAAAUCAACUAGUUCUACAAGAAUAUCUCUUUUUAAAGGAAGAUGAUUCUCUCUCUCGAAAUUUUUUUAUCUCGUGCUACAAACUAAAAACUUAUGCCACUUCAUUAACCACAAAGAUCUUUGAGGAAAUGAUGCUUCCCUCCCCCCCCCCCCCCCCCCCCCUCCCACAAAAAAAAAAAAGAGUCCUUCCAUAUUGUGUGAAGGCUAAUAUAUCGAUGAAUCUAGAUUUCUUUAAAUUUUUUGUUUUACUCAAUUCGAGAUAAUAAUUCAAUCCAUGCAAAUAUCUAUCAUUGUAUGAGCUGACCAGUUAAUAGGUUGAUUGAAUAUAUGUGGUAAAGAUUCCACGUAUCUCAUGACAGAAUGCUGACCACUGGAACCCUAUCUACUUUUACGCGAUUAAUUCACGAGCUUAGGCACAACAAUUGCAAUACAAAUUAUCCCCUCAUCGUAUAUUUCGUUAAAAUUCAUUCUGAAGCAGUAAAACUAAACAAUCGAAUAUGGCUUUGCGGGUCGAUGAUGCCAGCAGCAAUGAGAGUGCAAUUAUCACUUGUUUAGUUUCUGUGCUUGCCGUGGCUUAUUUCGCAUGGAAUGUGAAAAAAUCAAGGAAAGCAAAUGCUAAACUGCCACCAGGAACUCGCGGCUUGCCUGUAGUCGGAUACCUCCCAUUUCUCGGGACUACUGACUUGCACAAGAAAUUCACGGAAUUUAUUUUACUAUUAUAUUUAUAUUCAAAAUAAUUUUAAUUAGCUUUUAAAAUGAAUGAUUUUAGGAAAUUAUAAAUAAAGGUAACUAAGAAUUCUCUUAAUGCAAUAUAUUAUUAAUUAGUUUAAAAAUACAAAUUUAUUAAUUAGAGAAAUUAUUAGUGAAUUUAAAUUAAUGAUCUUAAUGAUUUGUUUGUACGAUUGCCCCCAAUCAAAGGUAAUUUUCCUAAAAAUUAUUAGGAAAUUAGAGAAAUUUAAUUUUUUUUAGUGGGUUCAAUUGCCCACACACCCCGACUGAAGCAUUUUUUACAAUAUGUACUCCGUUUGUCGGCAGGAAAAUAAAGGUCUUGACACAUGAUCACUUCAUUCCUUUAUUUACUUUGCGAACGCAGAUUUUGAGGUAUUAAAACAAAUAAUAAUUGAAUAUGACUUUGUGGGUCGACGACGCCAGCAACGAGGAGACCGCCAAUUAUCACAUUUUAAGUUUGCUGUAAUUGCCAUUGUUUUAUAUUAGUAGAAUAUUAGUGAUAAGAUAAUUGUAGAGUUUUCAUUUUUUUAAUAUUAAAAUCAAGUCAAUUUAUUAUAAUAAAUUUAGUUGAAUUUAAUCGUAUUACCACAUAAAUUGAAUAAUAAUAGAAUUCUCCACAAAUAUUUCAAUAUUUUAAUCUCAAGCAUUGGAGUGGCAUUUAUUUGUUAUGCGGUCGAUUUUAGAAUUUUUAAAAUUAUUCGUUACUGAAUUGCACCAUAUGCUGCAUCACCUGGAACUUACUAAACGGAACGUAGCGUUGGCACCGUUACCAACAUUCACUGUUACGACUUUGUGACAUUAGAAUUAAAAUCUUUUCCACAUCUAAUUUGUUUACUUCCAAAUUAAUAUUUAACAAAAUAUUUUUUCACAUUAUCAAUGGACAAAACUCCAACGAAAAUAACUAUACAAGAAAAAUGUAUGCUAGAAUUGUAUGCCAUAUCAUCUGUAAUUUUGUCAGGAUCGAUCAUUCUAAUUUUGAAGCAGAACUUUUUAUCAAUGGACAAACACCUCACACAGCUUGUCAGAGGCAUUAUUAUGAUGUAAGAUUGUAAUGGUAUAUCUUGAAUUAUUGGUAGAAUAGUGAAUAACUAUUUGGAGCAAUAAAAACAAAUAAGACAGAUGAGAAAAUGGCUAAAAUUAUAUAAGUGACCCAAAUUGUUUUGCUAUUUCCAAGAAAUCCCCAAUCUGAAUGGACCAGCCAGAGGGAGGCAAGUUAGAAAUAUGUUUCCUUCAUAGACAAUAACAACGAUGAGUCGAUGACAUCAAGCCACGUCGGUAUCAAUAUUGAAAUAAAGGUGCAAUUAUUCAGCCAAUGAGCCUUACACAUCGAGAUAAAAGUCAAGAAAAUGAAAAUUUAUCCCAAUUAAAACACUUUCUGGCUGCAUUUAGCUGUUUCCAUUUGAAGUUAAAAACAACGUUUCUUUCGUUUUGUGGGCGACUCGACUGAGCUAGCUGGCUUCUAGUGCUGGUAAGUGAAAAUAGAAGGCUAAUGAUUUCACUUUCACAUUUUUCUUUUCCUUUUUUGGGAAUCAAAGUCAAGGUCAAGAAGAAUAAAUGGAGAAUUCGGAAAAAUGGGUGCAUAAUGUGAUCCAUUCAUGAAGAAGAGUACGUGAGCGUCGGGCAACAGUAUUUUUACCUAUUAAGCUCCAGUUUAAUUUUGUUGUAGGAAAACAAAAUUUUGUUUUCAAUUCACAUCGUGUGCAUCCAAUUCAACAAACACUUUGUAAUAAUUAAUGUUGAGUUGUAUCCUACGUUAAGGAGAGUUACUUAAAUUUAUAAAUAGGAUAAAUUACUCUAUUUAAUAAGUUAAUGUUUUCUUCUUUCUUCUAGAUUACAUAUAAAUUUAGUCAGAUAACCUAACACAUAUUUUAAUACUCGAUCAGAAGCCCUAAGCAGUGGUGGAUCCAAUAAAUUGAUUUAUAUGGUGUAAUAAUGUAAUAAAAAAAUGGUGAUUCAUAAAAUUGACCCAAUAUCAAAAUUUGUUUGCAAGAUUACUCCCCACUCAAAGGUAAUUUUCCUAAAAAUUAAUAGGAAAUUUAAUUGUCAUUGGGAUCAAAUUGCCCCCACACUCUUGAAUGUAGAUCCUCCCCUGGCCUUGAGUCAAGUAUUUUUUCCAAUAUAUACUCCGAAUGUCGGCAGGAACAACCUUCCACUUUAAUUUAAAAUUUUUACUUGAAAAAUUAAUUAAUGUUAAUAAAGUUCGUAAGAGAAAUGAGUUUAAUAAAAGAAAAUUAUAGGAGAAAUUCUAAUGUUUGUCUUUUAAUAAAUUAGUUUAUAAGUUUAAAAAGUUAACAUAUAUCAAAAUAUUAUUGAUUGGUGGUGGUUUCACGUCAGAUUAAGACGUGACACUUUACUUGUGAGACUGAGACAAUCAGCUUAGACUACUUCAAUAGGUUUGAAGCGUAGGCGGCACCCAUUCAAUUUGCACCAAUGUCUAUCAUUCUUUGUCCUAAUUACUACGAUAAUUAAUAACAUGCAAUUGAAAUUAUUAAUGUUAGUACUUGCCUAUAAAUAAAGGUAUUGUACUUGAAUCUUCAUAGAUGAUCACUUCAUUCCUUUAUUUACUUUGGUAACACAGAUUUUGAGAGACAUUAAAACUAAAGAAUAAUUGAAUAUGGCUUUGUGGGUUGAUGAUGCCAGCUCCAACGUGAGUGCAAUUAUCGCAUGUUUAAUUGCUCUAUUAGCCGUGGUCUAUUUCGUGUGGACAAGGAAAACAAAUGCUAAACUUCCACCAGGACCUCGCGGCUUGCCUGUAAUCGGAUACCUCCCUUUUCUCGGAACUACUGACUUGCACAAGACAUUCACGGAAUUAGCUGGUGUGUAUGGUCCAAUCUUCAAGCUCUGGCUUGGCAACAAAUUGUGUGUAGUGGUGAGCUCGCCUUCCCUAGUUAAACAAGUGGUUCGUGAUCAAGAUAUAACAUUCGCUAACCGCGACCCACCGAUCGCUGGACUCGUGGCCUCCUUUGGUGGCAAUGAUAUUUUAUUUUCCAAUUAUGGUCCUGAAUGGAGAAAGUUGCGCAAAUUAUUUGUGGGCAAGUUGAUGAGUAACGCAAGUCUUGACGCUUGUUAUGCUCUAAGAAAACAAGAGGUUAAAAAUAUAAUCAGGGAUUUGUAUAAUAACAACAAAACUGGCAAGCCCAUAGAUGUUGGUGAGUUGUCGAUCUCAACUUUUGUAUGUGUUAUACAGAACAUGCUAUGGGGUGAAGCUCUUGAAUUAAGAGAGAAAGGGAUCAGUAACCUUGGGGCUGAGCUAAAGUUUAAGCUAGCAGAACUCGUGGUGCUAAUGGGAACACCGAAUAUUUCGGAUAUCAUUCCGUGCUUUCAUGGCUUGAUAUACAAGGUAUAGAGAAGAGAACAAAGAAGAUUUCUCUAUGGUUUGCACAAGCACAGCUGUAUUAGUUAUGUGUUUUAACUUUAUUUUAAUUAGACUUUUAUUGUUAUCGUUUUAACAGGACAUAAUUUCUGGUGGAAACGACACAACAACUACAACGGUGGAAUGGACAAUGACAGAGUUGAUGCACAAUCCACGAGUAAUGAAGAAGGUUCAAGAGGAAUUAGCUCAAGUUGUGGCCAUGGACAGCUGUGUUGAAGAAUUUCACUUGCCCAAAUUAAAGUACUUAGAUGCUGUGGUGAAAGAAACAUUUCGGCUGCAUUCUGUGCCCUAUUUAGUACCACGUAGGGCAAGCCAAAGUAGCAGCAUUGGUGGCUAUACUGUUCCUAAAGAUACAACGAUUAUAUUGAAUGUUUGGGCAAUCCACAGAGAUCCUCAAAUUUGGGAUAACCCCUUAGAAUUUGGACCAGAGAAGUUUUUGAAUGAUGGUAUUGCGAGCAAAUUUGAUUACUCGGGUAACAAUUUUCAGUACUUGCCGUUUGGUUCUGGCAGAAGGAUGUGUGCAGGGAUUGCUCUGGCAGAGAGGAUGCUGAUGUUUGUUCUGGCUUCACUGCUGCACUCAUUUGAUUGGAAAUUACAGGCAGGCACAAAGCUAGACUUAUCUGAAAAGUUUGGGAUUUUGAUUAAGAAAAAGGAGCCUUAGGUUGCUAUUCCAACACCAAGACUACCCAAUUCAGAGCUCUACCAAUAAGACAAAUGGUUGUGAUGGUAUUGUAUCCCCACUGUAUUGGAAGAUUUGUAUGUUAUUUCAAGUUCAAUCAUAAUAAGCAUAUUAAUAAAUGUCUUCAGGUUGUUAUUUUUUCGCUGGCCCAAUCGAUCAUCAUACUCGUGUUUUCGAGCUAUUUAUUUAUUUUUGAAUUGCAAUCUGAAAUAUAUGUACUUUAAAUUUCUUACAAGAUUUUAAAUUUAUAUACAUCUACAACCCAAAAUCUCCCAAAAAAUCUAAAAUUCAAAAAUUUACAAAGCAUAGACCAAAAUUUUUAUACCAACUAAUUUUUUGAUCAAUUCUACACUUUCUAAAAGGAGAGACGUUUACUCCAAUAUUUGGACUACAAUUAUAUCUAAGCUUAGGUGCCAAAUAAUAAAUUUAUAAGUAAAUUGGAUUUUGAACAUGGAGAGAGUUCUAAAACAACUUGCUUAAAGCAAAUGAACUGUCCAAUUAAUUCAAUUUUUCAAAAACAAAUCUUUAAACAUUCAACGGACAUUUUCACAAGCUUCUGGAAGGCACAAUCUAAAACCCAACAAAGAAUUCAAAAAAUCUUUGAACUUCUCACAAGCUUCUUGGAGAGAUGCGACGGCGCUGCUUUGGUAACUCAGAAGGCUCAGAGAUCUUUGAGGAAAUCAUGGUUCGCUUUCUUUUUUAUCUUUCCUCCUAAUCCUUGCAAAUUGUGUGAAGGCCAAUAAAUCCAUGAAUCUAAAUCUCUGUAAAUUUCUUUUUUCCCAAAUUUAGAUAAUUAUUUACUCCAUGCACAAUAUAUAUCACUGUAUCAGCUGUUCUUUUUUUUUUUUUUUGGAUGGGGCGGCAGUUUAGAAGAGCUGGAGGGUGUUCUUGACAGAGCUCAAAUUUUUUGUGUGCUCGUUGGGUGGAUAUAUCAAUCAAAGAUAUCCCAUACAGUGACAUCUGUCGUGAUCAAAUUAUUAGUUGAUCAAUGAUUUCGACAUCUGUUUACUGUAAUAAAAUUUGUCACUAUACAUUGAUGAAAGUGUUUGAUGUGAUUUUCUAACUGCUACCGACGGGAAACAGUUAAUAGGUUGAUUGAAUUUGUGGGAUAUAGAUUCCACAUAUCGCAUGACAGGAUCCUGACCACUCGAAUCUUAUCUACAUUUACACGAUUAAUACACCAGCUUAGCUGUGACAGUGCCAUUACAAAUUAUCCUCUCAUCAUUUGUCUUGUUAAAAUUCAUUCUGAAACACUGAGACUAAAUAUACGAAAAUGGCUUUGUGGGUCGAUGAUGCGAGCCGGAAAGAGACUGUAAUUAUCACUUGUUUAGUUGCUGUACUCGCCGUGGUCUAUUUCGCAUGGAAUGUGAACAAAUCAAGUAAAGCAAAUGCUAAACUGCCGCCGGGACCUCGUGGUUUGCCUGUAGUCGGAUACCUCGCAUUUCUCGGAACUACUGACUUGCACAAGACAUUCACCGAUUUAUCUGGAGUCUAUGGUCCGAUCUUCAAGCUCUGCUUUGGAAACAAACUGUGUGUAGUGGUGAGCUCGCCUUCCCUAGUUAAACAAGUGGUCCAUGAUCAAGAUCUAACAUUCUCUAACCGCAGCCCAUCGAUCGCUGGACUUGUUACCACCUAUGGUGGCAAUGAUAUUGCACUUUCCAAUUAUGGUCCAGAAUGGAGAAAGUUGCG
RNAcentral lists this long non-coding RNA (38561 nucleotides) under Citrus maxima (pomelo). Its description in RNAcentral is "long non-coding RNA (CMAX_LNC000490)". The record is from RNAcentral. Lineage: Eukaryota; Viridiplantae; Streptophyta; Magnoliopsida; Sapindales; Rutaceae.